Molecule: non-coding RNA, 123 nt
Organism: Brassica rapa (field mustard)
Lineage: Eukaryota; Viridiplantae; Streptophyta; Magnoliopsida; Brassicales; Brassicaceae
Source: Rfam
GGAAAAUAAAAAACCGUCUCUUAACUUUUAACUAAAAAAACUAAGAACUGCCUCUUAAAUAAGAUAUUUAAAAGCUGGUUCUUAUCUUUUCUAGUUAAGUUAAGAGACAGAUUCUUAUAUUCU